GACGAACGCUGGCGGCGUGCUUAACACAUGCAAAUCGAGCGGUAAGGCCCUUUCGGGGGUACACGAGCGGCGAACGGGUGAGUAACACGUGGGUGACCUGCCCUUAGCUCUGGGAUAAGCCUGGGAAACUGGGUCUAAUACCGGAUAUGACUCCAUAACGCAUGUUGUGGGGUGGAAAGCCUUGUGCGGCUAGGGAUGGGCCCGCGGCCUAUCAGCUUGUUGGUGGGGUGAUGGCCACCAAGGCGACGACGGGUAGCCGGCCUGAGAGGGCGACCGGCCACACUGGGACUGAGACACGGCCCAGACUCCUACGGGAGGCAGCAGUGGGGAAUCUUGCGCAAUGGGCGAAAGCCUGACGCAGCGACGCCGCGU
RNAcentral lists this ribosomal RNA (372 nucleotides) under uncultured bacterium. RNAcentral's name for it is "bacterial SSU rRNA". It matches the Rfam family "Bacterial small subunit ribosomal RNA", at positions 28 to 402 of the family's 1533-position model. The record is from RNAcentral.